This is a long non-coding RNA of Girardinichthys multiradiatus, 1271 nucleotides long. RefSeq lists it as uncharacterized. Lineage: Eukaryota; Metazoa; Chordata; Actinopteri; Cyprinodontiformes; Goodeidae. The record is from RefSeq and is a predicted model, not a curated record. The transcript has 2 exons.
UUUCUGACACGCGUACAAUGGUCAGUUGUAUAUGCUUAUAUUUCUAAAAGUAAGCCAAAGACUUUAUAUGAUGCGUUGCCUUUGACUUUAAAACCUGUGCCUGUCAAGAAAUGGUUGUUGGUUCUCCCUGCUAUCUGUUUUGUUUCCGGUUCUCCAGCUUCUCCACCAGAGGGCCCUGCAGUCAGCUCCUGGGUUGAGCAUGCCUCUUCCUGCUACACCCUGUCACAGGUGCAGCUCAUCUGAGGCAAUCAGGUUCAAUCUCCUGGCAGCAUAUGAGGGGCUUGAAGCCUGUCAGUCAUUGCCUGAGUGUUAACUGUCAUUGGUUACCUAGCCCCAGCCCGGACAUUCGUGCUCACCUGUGGACCGGCCUUCGUCAUUGCAAGCUUUCUGUGGAUCUUCGGAUUACAUUCCUAUGACUGGCUUCCACCCUGCUGCACUACCUGUCCGCCCAGCCCUGCUGCGGUUCUGAAACACCUUCUGGAUUUCACCUCCGCUACAGGCAAAACCGUCCAACUAUUCAUUAACCGGACUUCCUGCAUCAUCAUCACCUCCAAGAUUUUUGGAUGGAUGAGAAAAAUAUUUUCCCACAGGACUGCUCUUCUGCUAAAAUUGGGGAGUGAAGAGUCAAUCCCUAGCUAUGCAGGGCUUUAAUCUAGAAUCAUCUGAGUUUAAUCAUCAAAUGGUCUUCACCUACUUGAGCUUUUUACUCAAAAUUUCAUUCAGCUUUUUUUGAAGUUUAAAGAAUGGAUUAUUUUAUUUUAAUGGAUUUUUAAAAUUGUUUUGUGGCUGAAUGUCAUUAAUAUGACAAUUUUGAACAAUGUAUUAUUCAUAUUUCAUAGUAGGUUAAGUAGUUAUUUCAUUUAUUGGUGAUAAUUAUAAUCUGGCAUUUUUUUUUUAACCUUUUACAAUAUUAGUUUGUUUUUUUUCCUUGCUAAUUUAAUGACUACAAGGCUGGUGGGGAACAAUCCUGGAAAUAAUUUUUUUCAUGGAUUUUUAAAAAAAACUUUAAACAAACAAAAACUGACUUACAGAUUUAUUGAGAUAAGAACAGCAGAAGGAUGCUUACAGCAAGCGGUAAAAAUGCAAUCCUGCAUAAGCUUGCACCGAGCAAGAAAACAGCAAGAAAAGCUUUGAAAUCUCCCAUCAUGCCUGUGCAUCUACUGCUGAUUAUUAUUAUGAGUGUUUAUUAUAAACUUAUGGCCUACACAUGUGCCUGUGUGCAAGUGAUCACAGUCUAUUACAACGGUUACCAUUGCUUCAGCUGUCAUGGA